GAUGAACGCUGGCGGCGUGCCUAAUACAUGCAAGUCGAGCGAACGGACGAGAAGCUUGCUUCUCUGAUGUUAGCGGCGGACGGGUGAGUAACACGUGGAUAACCUACCUAUAAGACUGGGAUAACUUCGGGAAACCGGAGCUAAUACCGGAUGAUAUUUUGAACCGCAUGGUUCAAAAGUGAAAGACGGUCUUGCUGUCACUUAUAGAUGGAUCCGCGCUGCAUUAGCUAGUUGGUAAGGUAACGGCUUACCAAGGCAACGAUGCAUAGCCGACCUGAGAGGGUGAUCGGCCACACUGGAACUGAGACACGGUCCAGACUCCUACGGGAGGCAGCAGUAGGGAAUCUUCCGCAAUGGGCGAAAGCCUGACGGAGCAACGCCGCGUGAGUGAUGAAGGUCUGCGGAUCGUAAAACUCUGUUAUUAGGGAAGAACAUAUGUGUAAGUAACUGUGCACAUCUGGACGGUACCUAAUCAGAAAGCCACGGCUAACUACGU
RNAcentral lists this ribosomal RNA (496 nucleotides) under uncultured bacterium. Its description in RNAcentral is "partial 16S ribosomal RNA". It matches the Rfam family "Bacterial small subunit ribosomal RNA", at positions 28 to 506 of the family's 1533-position model. The record is from RNAcentral.